RNAcentral lists this ribosomal RNA (476 nucleotides) under bacterium enrichment culture clone Pav-FEB-Bd29-C1. RNAcentral's name for it is "bacterial SSU rRNA". It matches the Rfam family "Bacterial small subunit ribosomal RNA", at positions 61 to 524 of the family's 1533-position model. The record is from RNAcentral.
GUCGAGCGGCAGCGGGAAAGUAGCUUGCUACUUUUGCCGGCGAGCGGCGGACGGGUGAGUAAUGCCUGGGGAUCUGCCCAGUCGAGGGGGAUAACAGUUGGAAACGACUGCUAAUACCGCAUACGCCCUACGGGGGAAAGGAGGGGACCUUCGGGCCUUUCGCGAUUGGAUGAACCCAGGUGGGAUUAGCUAGUUGGUGGGGUAAUGGCUCACCAAGGCGACGAUCCCUAGCUGGUCUGAGAGGAUGAUCAGCCACACUGGAACUGAGACACGGUCCAGACUCCUACGGGAGGCAGCAGUGGGGAAUAUUGCACAAUGGGGGAAACCCUGAUGCAGCCAUGCCGCGUGUGUGAAGAAGGCCUUCGGGUUGUAAAGCACUUUCAGCGAGGAGGAAAGGUUGGCGCCUAAUACGUGUCAACUAUGACGUUACUCGCAGAAGAAGCACCGGCUAACUCCGUGCCAGCAGCCGCGGUAAU